Molecule: transfer RNA, 73 nt
Filed under: Ovis aries (sheep)
Lineage: Eukaryota; Metazoa; Chordata; Mammalia; Artiodactyla; Bovidae
Rfam family: tRNA
About the family: Transfer RNA (tRNA) molecules are approximately 80 nucleotides in length. Their secondary structure includes four short double-helical elements and three loops (D, anti-codon, and T loops).
Source: Rfam by way of RNAcentral
UCCUUGGUGGUCCAGUUGUUAAGACUCCAUACUUCUACUGCGGAGGGCCCAGGUCCAAUACCUGGUGGGGGAA